GGCCCCUUAGCCAAGUGGUAAGGCAGAUGAUUGCAAAUCAUCCAUCCCCGGUUCGAGUCCGGGAGGGGCCU
This 71-nucleotide transfer RNA is filed under the name Gemmataceae bacterium. RNAcentral's name for it is "tRNA-Cys". It matches the Rfam family "tRNA". From Rfam's summary of the family: Transfer RNA (tRNA) molecules are approximately 80 nucleotides in length. Lineage: Bacteria; Pseudomonadati; Planctomycetota; Planctomycetia; Gemmatales; Gemmataceae. The record is from RNAcentral.